GAGUGAAUUUGGUCUGCUACAACCUAUAAUUGAUGGUUUAUAAAACCACACCAGACGAAAUCUGUCGAGUCUACAUACCCUCUCGGAGACCCCCGUGGUAGAUCCGGAAUGUGUUGAAGUAUGGGGACCCCAAAGGUACCGAAGUCCGUAGAAGAAACUGCAGUGCCGACUAGACCAGUCUCGAGAUGUCUCCAGGUCACGACAGGUAGUGGCUGUGUCUCAAUUCAGGGUCUGCAUCCUACGUCGGCCGGAUUCGUCGGCCGGUUACGUCACAGCGCCGCGACUAGGCCUGUACCAAUUCGAAGACUCCUUCAAAUGCGGUCGACGAAUGCGGCCUUCUUUUCGCCUAAAUGAAGGAUGGGUCCGGUGUAUCCUUCAACAGGUAGCAUUUCCCAAGAUGCCUUGCGGGCCGGCCGGCAGAAAAACUUAAAAACAAUGGCGGACAGUGAAGCGGGAGCUGUCGGAGAGGAUUGCGCAUAUAAAUGAACAAAAGAGAAAACCAGGGACUUUAUUAAGCUUAGGGCGGAGAUGGACCACAUGAUCACCGGAGCAAAGUAUUCGGCGGCUGUGGCAUGGAGGGGAAGGUGCCAGCGAUGACCAGCUUCUGGAGCUGAUCAGGGAGGACAUGAGGCUGCAGAGGGCACAGGAGAGAAGGAAGAACUUUGACAGCUUUUUACUUUGCUAGAAAAAAAUGGUUAAGGAAGAUUAAACAUGUACAUAUAAAACAAAUAUCUAAAUAAAAUCAGUUCUGCAUUAAACUCUUGAAUUUUAUUUUGUUUACAAAUGAGAAUUGUUUACUAGAGGGUAUCCGCUGGGUCUUGAAAAGUCUUAAAAGGUGAUAAAUUGGUUUUGGUCAAAUCAAGACCCUUAGAAAGUAUUAAAAACUAUUAUCACAUCUUUGCUCUGGCUCAGCUUGUCUAAAGUAUUUUCUCUGAAUUAGCUCUCCAACAGUCAAGGAAAUGAUUAACCCCCAGAGACCCACGGUUGUAAUAUUACAACAUCAGAUUUAAGUCUACAAAAAUAAACCUUCCCCAUUUUUUUUCUUUUUAAAACCACAUUUACAUUGCUAAUAGGUCCUAUUGUUCAGUUCUGCAACACUAUUGGCUGUUAAAAUGUGUAAAUAGGCCCGUUUAUCUGGCCUCCUAGAACAACAUGUGAAAGGUUAAAAAAAGAUUUUGCAGUUGUUUUCUAAAUUUGGGUUUCUGGGGGUUAAAAAGCUAAAUAAAACGUCGAGCUCCAUCGUUUAAAGUUCCUUCUCCCUUCUGCCCAGCGGUUCCACGGUUGCUAGGCGACGGAACGUUCGCCGAGGGAGUUCAAGAAGGCUAGGCCUGUCCAAAUUCACAGCCGUUAACAUCCGGUCUACCCGGCCGACGGAGGACGCAGCCCACGUCGGCCGGGUGGGCUGGGUCCUUCGAAGGAUGCAGACCCUGAAUUGAGACACAGCCAGUUAU
Long non-coding RNA from Nothobranchius furzeri (turquoise killifish), 1451 nucleotides. RefSeq lists it as uncharacterized. The record is from RefSeq and is a predicted model, not a curated record. NCBI's taxonomy places the organism in Eukaryota, Metazoa, Chordata, Actinopteri, Cyprinodontiformes, Nothobranchiidae.